This is a long non-coding RNA of Cucumis melo (muskmelon), 917 nucleotides long. RefSeq lists it as uncharacterized. The transcript is spliced from 2 exons. NCBI's taxonomy places the organism in Eukaryota, Viridiplantae, Streptophyta, Magnoliopsida, Cucurbitales, Cucurbitaceae. The record is from RefSeq and is a predicted model, not a curated record.
AUUAUCCCUCCAUUUUAUAAAUGUUUGAAAAGUAUUCUUCCACCGGUUUGGAUUGAAGAUAACAUUAAGCCCAUUUUGGCCCACAAAUUGGAGUGGAGAUAGCCCACCCCAUGUUUGGCCCAAAGAUUGAGUGAUUUGGGGAUUAGAGUUAUCAUUGUUCCCUCCUCCUUCCAACUCCACUGCCCCUUCCCAACUUUGUACCGAUUCUUCUCUGUCUUUUAUUCCUCGCCAAACGAUCUCUUCCCCACUCAACUCCACCCCGCUCCUUCUCCAUCUUCCUCUCCUAGCUCGCCGGUCUUUUCCUUCUCUGAAACCCUUUGUCUCAGUCUCCUACUCCCUUGUUCGUUUUGCUUCAUCGAAUCCUUUCGAAGAUGAUUCUUGGUGGUUUCAAUAAUCAUUUAGCAAAUCCAGAAAUUGGGACCUCAAGUUCGGUUGCCGUGGAAAUAGCUAAAAUCCUCAAACUCAAAUGUGAGAAUAAUCACGAUGAAUUUGAACCGUCAAUGGAGAAUUAGACAGCUCUAAUGGCGGAACAUAGCAACAGUAAUCAGAAUUACCAAAUUUCAAUUGGGGGAAUUGCUUUGUAUGAUCCUUCCUUGGGCCUAAUGGGGAUUCUUGAUUUGAACCUCUGUUUGGAAGAUAUUUUUCAUAAAAAUUACACAAAAUAUUUGGCUGCUACAGCUAGACAAAACAAGAUUCAGAUUGGAAAAACAACAACAAUGGAGCUCCCAAAUUGCAAUCCUAAUUCCACUAUUUUCCUUUUUUUUUUUUCUUUUUUCUUUUUUCUUUUUUAAUCUUAGGAUUCAAUUCAUCAUUCAUCAAUUUUAUUGUUACGGCUCAUUGAUAACCAAUGUUUUCGAUUUUGUGUGUAAAAUAUUUUAGUUUAUAUAUGGUAAAAAGAUAAAAAGAAUAGUUUCAAA